AAUCAACGCUGGCGGCGUGCCUAACACAUGCAAGUCGAACGCGAAAGGGGAGCAAUCCCUGAGUAGAGUGGCAAACGGGUGAGUAACACGUGGGUGACCUGCCUUCGAGUGGGGAGUAACGUCCCGAACGGGACGCUAAUACCGCAUGACAUCCUGCUCUUGGAAGAGCGGAGAUCAAAGACUGGGGAGUCGCAAGACCUGGCGCUUGAAGA
Molecule: ribosomal RNA, 212 nt
Filed under: uncultured bacterium
Lineage: Bacteria
Description: partial 16S ribosomal RNA
Rfam family: Bacterial small subunit ribosomal RNA
Source: RNAcentral